Symphalangus syndactylus (siamang) is the source of this 823-nucleotide long non-coding RNA. RefSeq lists it as uncharacterized. NCBI's taxonomy places the organism in Eukaryota, Metazoa, Chordata, Mammalia, Primates, Hylobatidae. The record is from RefSeq and is a predicted model, not a curated record.
GUGACGUCAGCACGCUGACGUCGACGCACAGAGCUCGCAUCUCGCUCGAGGGACCAAAGACUCGACUGGUUCCUGAGUGCCGCCAUAGAGGAGCCAACCUAUUGGUCAGAUGACGUGUCAAUCUUCUACUGACCAGUAAACGACGCGGGAAGGAGGGAGAGGGCGGGCCGGCCUGCCUGUAGAAAUGGUGAUGGUUGAUCCCAAUUGAAGUUGGAGCUGGAGGGAUGAGAAUGCAGGAGAAGGAGAGGUCGGGCAGAGAGUCAGGUUGCAUUUCUUUUUUCUGGAAGCACAUCUUUUAAAAGAUAUUUACAUGAAGGUCUACCGGAUAUGAAAUUGGAGUUCUAGAAGGGGAGAAGAUGAGGAUGGGGAAGAAACAAUAUCUCAAGAGGAAAUCUCUCAAGAAUUUGCCAAGUCUGACCCAAAACAUCAAGCAGUUGAUUUAAGAAGUGUAUAAGCCCAUGCUGGGUAAAUACAAUGAAAACCACACUUUGGCACACCAGAGUCCAACUGAGGGAAAUCAAAACAAUAAUAAAACAUUGAAAAUACACAUUGCCUUCAAACCAACUACAAUAAGAUAAAUAGCUAAUUCCCUAAAACAAAUUAUGGAAGCCAGAAAACAAUUUAAUGACAUCUUUAAUGAUAAAAUUACUGCCAGUUUACAAUUCUCUGCCAACUAAAAAUUUACUCUGGAAUUGAAGGUGAAAUAAAGAUAUUUCUAGACAAAAUAAGCCUGAGAGGUUUCAUCAUUGACAAAUAUUACAGUAGGUACUACAGAAUUCUUCAGGCAGAAGGAAAAUGAUCAAGAAAGAAAUACAGAAAUGGA